GUUCCUCCGCAGAGUCGUCCAUGUUUCCUCCAAACGGCUGAUCUGCACAGAACAGACAAAAACAGUCUUGGUGUUAAAGAACUUUCUAGAACGUCACCAGUGAAACAAAGGUCCAGAGCUUUCAUCAGGGCUGUGAAAGCAAACAGGUCGCCCACUGUGUCCUUUAGCUCCAAUGCAACCAGGAUGAUGCGAUUUAACGUGGACGCCCGCUCCUCCACGCUGCCCGUACAUCCCAGAAUAUCCACGGCAACACCUAUCGCCAUGGUGUGGUGUCUAGGAGAGACAGGGAGGAGAGGAGAGAGGAGGAUUAUCAACACAAGGUCCAGUCUCAGCUGGCGACCGUGUGGCAGCGUCACCAGCUCCAGACCAGAGGACACGCCCAUCUGACUUUUAAGAUCCGGAGUCACUCCGAGUAUCCUCGCAACCU
Molecule: long non-coding RNA, 427 nt
Organism: Lates calcarifer (barramundi perch)
Lineage: Eukaryota; Metazoa; Chordata; Actinopteri; Centropomidae
Exons: 3
Source: RefSeq, a predicted model, not a curated record